Molecule: ribosomal RNA, 226 nt
Filed under: uncultured bacterium
Lineage: Bacteria
Description: partial 16S ribosomal RNA
Rfam family: Bacterial small subunit ribosomal RNA
Source: RNAcentral
GCGUUAUCCGGAUUCACUGGGUUUAAAGGGUGCGUAGGUGGGUUGGUAAGUCAGUGGUGAAAUCUCCGUGCUUAACAUGGAAACUGCCAUUGAUACUACUGGUCUUGAAUUUUCUGGAGGUUAGCGGAAUAUGUCAUGUAGCGGUGAAAUGCUUAGAUAUGACAUAGAACACCAAUUGCGAAGGCAGCUAGCUACAGGGAUAUUGACACUGAGGCACGAAAGCGUG